Long non-coding RNA from Passer domesticus (house sparrow), 3783 nucleotides. RefSeq lists it as uncharacterized. The transcript has 3 exons. The record is from RefSeq and is a predicted model, not a curated record. NCBI's taxonomy places the organism in Eukaryota, Metazoa, Chordata, Aves, Passeriformes, Passeridae.
GUACUGUGCCCUCCCAUGUUGGGAGUGAACUCAGUUAUUUAACUGAGUCCUAGCGCAGUCUGUAAGGCCAUAACUUCCUUGUUUUCAAAUUCCACACAGAUAGUUCAGUAUAGUAAAAGCAGAUUAACCCCAAAGAAAGGGAGAAAUGAUACAUCUGACUCCAUGAUAUUAGAAGGCUAAUUAAUUACUUUAUUGUACUCUAUUAUUCUAUAUGAUAUUACUCUAUAUUACACUACAUCUAAACUGAAUCUGCACAAGCAUUCAACUCCACUCGACUGCGCAGAAUCUUGUGACUGUCAGCUGACAGUCCCAACACACACACCUGGAUUCAAUUGGUCAAUGAAUCAAAACACUCACACCAGAAUCCAGUUACCAAUUCUCUUCAGGUAGACAAUCUUCCACAAUGCAUUCCACUUGUUCCAAAACAUAGGAGCAGUAAAUGAGAUAAGAAUUGUUUUCUCUUUCUCUGAGGUUCAGAGAAUGUGAAUUCCAGAAAAUCCAAGCUGUGCCUUGAUUUUCUCUGUGAAAAGAAAUGUGGCUACAGUUCAGUAACAGUACCAUCCUGUGAAUAUUCCCAGAGUGUCUUACAGCAAUCAAAAUAAGGAGAGCAAACUGGAUUUACACUUGGAAUAUGACAUCAAAGGAACAUAACAUUAAAAUUAUGUUCUUCAAGAUAUUUAAAUUUUCUUAGAGCCCUAGCCAUUUAAAAUGUAUAUUAUUGUAGUAUUUUAAUUUCAGCCUUUAUACAUUGUACUUAAUUUAUAUACAACUAUAAUGGUAUGUGAUACAGUCUCACAUACUGUUCUUGGGCUUGGAACUCAACUGUCUCUACCUCUGCAGUAUUAACACAGUGACUUUGGCUUUUUCCAUCUAACACUUUCCCAGGUGUAUUUUGGGUGCUAACACAAUGAGCAGCUUGCAAGAUUAUCUUGGCUUGAAGAGUAAGACAAUUUAGUAUCAUGUAUAUUACUAGUCCCAUUCUUGACUACCUGGUUUCCACUGCCAGGGAAUAAUCCCAAGCAUUUAGUUUACUAAUACAGGCACAGCCUCUUAAGUAGAAGACUCAUUAAUUUAUCUGGAUUGGAGCCAGAGUGCUCAGUCAUUUGUAUAAUCAAAUUCUAAAAAGAGGUAAUAAUAUCUUAAUUUAUAUUUUAUUAUUACUGAUUGCUCAUUAAUAUGUAAUCAAUCAAUCCUUUGCAUUUCUGAGUCAAUUUCUACAUGAAUUUAUUGCUCGCUAAGGAGUGCUGUAGGCAGUAUUCCAUAUAAAAGUCCUGACAUUGACAGCUGUGAAUUCACAAAGUGGGUAUCUGGUUCAAAACUGUCUUUUAGUUCCACCUGAACUCAAUAGGAUUUUGAGAAAAUCCUGCUAAACUGAGUGGGCAAAAAGGUGGCAGAUGGGCUUCAAUGUAAAUAAAUAUAUUGCCUAGGGAAAUUAGGGAUGCAUGAUUUAAUCCAUACUUAAAUGAUGCCAAAACCCCAAACUGUCACUUAAAACUCAAGGAUUGCUCUGAAGUCAUUAGCAAGAGUCCCAAGGCCAACAGAACACUGCCCAUCAUCAGAGAAGGAUGACAAAGGGACAAAGGACAAAACAGGAAGCUUCUUUUUGCAGCUGAUUUUGUUCUGUAAAAGCCUGACAUGCCCUGUCUCAAGAAUGUUCUUCUGGCCUCUGUCUCUCAAGAAGGACUUUGAGAAGUAAGAGAUGGCCACCAAAAAUGUGAAAAAGAGGAGCUGCUUCAUAAGGAGAAACUGGACAGACUGAGACUCUUGCAUCUGUACAGAGCAGUCUGAGGAGGUUAUAAUCAAGAUUACAGAAUCACCAGAUCCCGUUGUACCUGAACUAGGAGGCACUCUCUGAAGCUGCUGGGGACAGAUCUGGCAAUUUCACCUGCAGAUACUGGCUGUGGAUGUGGGAUCUUCCUGGAUUGCACCUUCUGCUGCCAUCACAGGAAAAAAAGUCUUGGGCUAGAGGGACCAGUGGUUUGAAGAAGCUUGGUAAUAUGUUGCUAAGUGUCCUCUGCAGUUUGCUGUAAAAGAUGGCACUAGAUUCAAGAGACCUUUGGUGUGGUUUGGUACACUUCCACUUUCCUUGUUAGCUAUCACUUCCUGAUUUCAUUAAGACUCCUCAGACUGCAUUUUUGACAACCAUAGGGCCACUAGAAAGGGCUUUACAAAAGGUAUUAAAACUUCUGAAACCCUCCAGGCAGAUGGGUCUCUCUUGAAACUUUGUGAUUUAUUCUGCAGAAGAAGAACAAGCAAGCCCCCGGAGUGGAAGCAGGGGUUAGUCACUGUAAGAGAAACCCAAAUGUGAACAAUUCUUUUAAUGAGGAAAGGAGAUUUAAUGUAUGUCUUCAUUGCUUGAGAUAACACACUUCCCUUUUACUUCUGCAGAGCACAUAGGUUUUACUGGCUGUGACUGAGAAGCAGUUCAUUUUCUAGGCAAUUUCUACAAGAAAGAAAGUCAAAUAAUUGUAUAUAUUUUAUUUUAUUUACACAUUAGAUCAGUGAGUUUAUUUAAUUUCUGGUAUAGCAGCCUGAAAAGAGAAAGAAUUCAAACAUAAUAGUCUUUAAUGGGGUAAUCCUAAUAGAAUAAUAUGCAAAGCAAGAGACAUAAUUUUCAGAGCAACUUGAAAAAGAGAUUACAAGCUGGUACUUCCAGUAGGAAUACAUAAGAGAAAUACAUUUUUGUUUUCUGGUGAAAUCCUGUGUCCAGUAGUGUCUGAAUUUGAUACUUAUUAGAAACAAAGGAAAAUUAUUGAUUGCAGGAUUCGCCAAUAAUUAAUCAGACCAACAAAACACACACAUUUAGCUUCUCUCAGUUCAGAGGAAAUGGAGUAAUAGAUAUAGCUUCUCUUAGCCCAGCAAUGAUCAGUCUGUAUUCUGAAACUUUUUAUUUAUUUCACCUUUAACUCAAUGGUAAUGACAAAAUGGGUAAUAAAAUUACCCAGCUUCCAAAAAUACGUAUGUCUGUCCAGAUGCAGUAGCAACAGGGGGCAGCAGAUCUUCAGUUGUCAUAGAUCCGCAACUGAGGCUCAGCUACGACAGUUUGCACAAGCCCAGUUGCUGGAUCCCUCUGGUGGAUUUUCCUCCUAGCUUGUCUCAUUGAUUCCUUGCACCUGUGUAGUAGACCAGAGCAUAGCAGAUGUUGCUUUCAGCAAAGAAGCAAUCUUUUCAACAGUCAUUGAAACAACUUCAUAAAUAUUUCCUAAAGCAGUUUUGGGCUUAGAUUUCUGCAGGAUGGGAGCCUCAGUACACAUUUAUCCCUGCAGUCCCUCCACACCCACUCUCCUCUAAUUGUGUGGUAGAGAGGGAAACGUAUCUCAUAUGACAGUAUUUAUAUUGUAUAAAUAAGUCAUUAAGUCCAAAGCCAGCCCUCAGUUACAGUGGAAUCACUGUCUGAGAUGAAAUGUCAGUUGUGCUUAGAUCCUUUAGUUCUCAACUCCCUGAUAGUUUUAAUCUGCUGAUCCAUGUUUGGAUACAACAAUCCUGUGUAUUUUCAACAUAAUUCUGUCAUGAUCUGCUGAAAGAAGUUUGGAAAAGCUUUUCCAGUGGUUUUCAGACAAAAGCUGUUGACAAUUACACCUAGAUGCCUUGUUAAUGUCAAUUGCUUAGCAAAGAUAAAAUUACUGUCCAGGUUGCUGUAUGCAAGUUCUUCAUGAGGAUUGAGCUAGACCUCUGGAGUUCAAUGAAUAUUUGGGAUAUAGCAUUUGUUCAUUUCAAAAACUAAUAUUGGAAAUGUAGUAGAAUCUGAAUGAAUCAGACUACAUUGCUACCUUGUGCCUUUCA